GUCAGACGUCUGCUCUACCGAUAUCUUAAACCAACUUGGUGCAGACAGUGUGACUAGGUUAAGAAGGCUGGCUGAAGCUCUGCCCAAACAAUCUGUGGAUGGAAAGGCACCACUUGCUACCGGAAAGGAUGAUGAUGAUAAAGUUCCAGAUCUUGUGGAGAAUUUUGAUGAAGCUUCCAAGAAUGAAGCACACUGAAUUGAGUCAAUUUCUGAAGAAGAUAAAACCUGAAGAAGUUACUGGGAGCUUCUAUUUUAUAUUAUCACUGCUUUUUAAAUAUGUUGUUCGUGGAUCUGAUAAAAUCUAGAUCUCUAAUAUUUUUAAGCUCAAACCCCCUGGACACUGCAGCUCUUUUCAGUUUUUGCUUAUACACAAUUCAUUCGUUGUAGCUAAUUAAGCUGAAGAAGCCUGGGAAUAAAGUUUGAAACAAGAUUAAUAAAGUUCUUUGCCUAGU
This is a long non-coding RNA of Leopardus geoffroyi (Geoffroy's cat), 452 nucleotides long. RefSeq lists it as uncharacterized. Lineage: Eukaryota; Metazoa; Chordata; Mammalia; Carnivora; Felidae. The record is from RefSeq and is a predicted model, not a curated record. The transcript is spliced from 4 exons.